UGAGGAACAUGACUUUCGGCGGGGGAUAGCCGGCCCAACGGCCGGGUAAUACCGCGUACGACCACAUGGGGACAUCCCUGAGUGGUGAAAGCAGCAAUGCGCCGAUGGAGUGCCUCGCGGCCUAUCAGCUAGUUGGUGAGGUAACGGCUCACCAAGGCGACGACGGGUAGCUGGUCUGAGAGGAUGGCCUGCCACAUUGGGACUGAGACACGGCCCAGACCUNUACCGGGAGG
This 233-nucleotide ribosomal RNA is filed under the name uncultured bacterium. RNAcentral describes it as "partial 16S ribosomal RNA". It matches the Rfam family "Bacterial small subunit ribosomal RNA", at positions 118 to 348 of the family's 1533-position model. The record is from RNAcentral.